AUUGAACGCUGGCGGCAGGCCUAACACAUGCAAGUCGAGCGGAUGAAGGGAGCUUGCUCCUGGAUUCAGCGGCGGACGGGUGAGUAAUGCCUAGGAAUCUGCCUGGUAGUGGGGGAUAACGUCCGGAAACGGGCGCUAAUACCGCAUACGUCCUGAGGGAGAAAGUGGGGGAUCUUCGGACCUCACGCUAUCAGAUGAGCCUAGGUCGGAUUAGCUAGUUGGUGGGGUAAAGGACUACCAAGGCGACGAUCCGUAACUGGUCUGAGAGGAUGAUCAGUCACACUGGAACGUGGACACGGUCCAGGCUCCUACGGGAGGCAGCAGUGGGGAAUAUUGGACAAUGGGCGAAAGCCUGAUCCAGCCAUGCCGCGUGUGUGAAGAAGGUCUUCGGAUUGUAAAGCACUUUAAGUUGGGAUGAAGGGCAGUAAGUUAAUACCUUGCUGUUUUGACGUUACCAACAGAAUAAGCACCGGCUAACUUCGUG
Molecule: ribosomal RNA, 484 nt
Filed under: uncultured bacterium
Lineage: Bacteria
Description: partial 16S ribosomal RNA
Rfam family: Bacterial small subunit ribosomal RNA
Source: RNAcentral